GUGCCAGCCGCCGCGGUAAUACGUAGGGUGCAAGCGUUAAUCGGAAUUACUGGGCGUAAAGCGUGCGCAGGCGGUUCGCUAAGACAGAUGUGAAAUCCCCGGGCUUAACCUGGGAACUGCAUUUGUGACUGGCGGGCUAGAGUAUGGCAGAGGGGGGUAGAAUUCCACGUGUGGCAGUGAAAUGCGUAGAGAUGUGGAGGAAUACCGAUGGCGAAGGCAGCCCCCUGGGCCAAUACUGACGCUCAUGCACGAAAGCGUGGGGAGCAAACAGGGUUAGAUACCCUGGUAGUCCACGCCCUAAACGAUGUCAACUAGUUGUUGGGGAUUCAUUUCCUUAGUAACGUAGCUAACGCGUGAAGUUGACCGCCUGGGGAGUACGGUCGCAAGAUUAAAACUCAAAGGAAUUGACGGGGACCCGCACAAGCGGUGGAUGAUGUGGAUUAAUUCGAUGCAACGCGUAAAACCUUACCUACCCUUGACAUGUAUGGAACCUGGCUGAGAGGCCGGGGUGCCCGAAAGGGAGCCAUAACACAGGUGCUGCAUGGCUGUCGUCAGCUCGUGUCGUGAGAUGUUGGGUUAAGUCCCGCAACGAGCGCAACCCUUGUCCCUAGUUGCUACGCAAGAGCACUCUAGAGAGACUGCCGGUGACAAACCGGAUGAAUGUGGGGAUGACGUCAAGUCCUCAUGGCCCUUAUGGGUAGGGCUUCACACGUCAUACAAUGGUCGGACAGAGGGUCGCAACCCGCGAGGGGAGCCAAUCCCAGAAACCGAUCGUAGUCCGGAUCGCACUCUGCAACUCGAGUGCGUGAAGCUGGAAUCGCUAGUA
Molecule: ribosomal RNA, 826 nt
Filed under: uncultured bacterium
Lineage: Bacteria
Description: bacterial SSU rRNA
Rfam family: Bacterial small subunit ribosomal RNA
Source: RNAcentral